GUGGUUCGUCGAAUGACCUAUUCGUUUACAACCCUAUUUUGACCUCCCUACCACAAGUCCCCGACAAACUGAAUUAGUUCAAUGAUUUGAACUAAUUUUCAACUAAGAUUCUAAGAAGAGCACACCAACAAGAAGCACUGCUUUAGAACCCCCCUCCCCCCUUCUUACCACCAUCCUUUCACAGAAUAAUUGCCCAUUUAUCAGCAAUCCUAAGUACUCAUACUAGUUUUAUUGCCUUCUUGCUGCAAAGUUGCUACGUUUACCAAAAUUAAGGAAAAAGGAGGCUCAUGUUAUCAUCUACCCUAACCAAAAAUAAUCUACUGAGCUUAUUUUAGACAUCCCUAUCACAAUAAAAA
Hibiscus syriacus is the source of this 356-nucleotide long non-coding RNA. RefSeq lists it as uncharacterized. The transcript has 2 exons. NCBI's taxonomy places the organism in Eukaryota, Viridiplantae, Streptophyta, Magnoliopsida, Malvales, Malvaceae. The record is from RefSeq and is a predicted model, not a curated record.